CAAUAGCGUAUAUUAAAGUUGUUGCAGUUAAAAAGCUCGUAGUUGGAUUUCUGGUGAGAUGGAUCAUGUCUAGGUCGAAAGAUCUUGUUCAUGGUUCGUUUUGCCCUUCUUGUCAGGAACCCGCUGAGAUUCGCGUCUUGUCGGUGGAAUGGCAUCGUUUACUGUGAAAAAAUUAGAGUGUUCAAAGCAGGCAUCGCCGUUGAAUACAUUAGCAUGGAAUAAUAAGAUAAGACUUUGGUGGUCUAUUUUGUUGGUUUGCACGCCAAAGUAAUGAUUAAUAGGGAUAGUUGGGGGUAUUCGUAUUCUAUUGCUAGAGGUGAAAUUCUUAAAUUUAUGGAAGACGAACUACUGCGAAAGCAUUUACCAAGGAUGUUUUCAUUAA
This 382-nucleotide ribosomal RNA is filed under the name uncultured eukaryote. RNAcentral's name for it is "partial 18S ribosomal RNA". It matches the Rfam family "Eukaryotic small subunit ribosomal RNA", at positions 592 to 976 of the family's 1831-position model. The record is from RNAcentral.